UUUACACCUUCGAUAUACGAUAUAUCUCAGAUUGGGCUUGGUGGUCAUGGGUUGUUGCUGAAUUUUGGCUUCUUUUUCACUCUAACCUAUGCUUUGUUUUACGUGUGCUUGGAUAAGAAAGCUGGAACUCUGGCUGCUCUGCUCUGCUUUGCGUGUUGGGUUGGUGCCAGUUUCAUUUCUGCGAGGCUUGGGUAUUCUUUGGCUUGGAAGGUUGUGCUGGCAGCGUUGUUUUGUUGGACUGGACAGUUUCUAGGCCAUGGGGUGUUUGAGAAACGGGUUCCUGCUAUUCUUGACAACCUUGCACAAGCCCUUCUAAUGGCUCCUUUCUUUGUAUUGCUUGAGGUUAUUCAAUCGGCCUUUGGAUAUGAACCAUAUUCAGGGUUUCAUGCAAGCGUUAAAGCAAAAAUAGAUGCGGAGAUCAAGGAAUGGAAGGAUAAUAAACAAAAGAAAUCCACUUAGCUUACAGAGUCACCAAACAGACAAAAAUUGUGCACUUCAACUUCUAAGCACAAUGGAAAAUUUGUCUAGUGAUGUUGUAGUAUGA
This 544-nucleotide unclassified non-coding RNA is filed under the name Hevea brasiliensis (rubber tree). The record is from RNAcentral. Lineage: Eukaryota; Viridiplantae; Streptophyta; Magnoliopsida; Malpighiales; Euphorbiaceae.